UGAGGAAUAUUGGACAAUGGGUGAGAGCCUGAUCCAGCCAUCCCGCGUGAAGGACGACGGCCCUAUGGGUUGUAAACUUCUUUUGUACAGGGAUAAACCUACUCUCGUGAGAGUAGCUGACGGUACUGUACGAAUAAGCACCGGCUAACGCCGUGCCAGCAGCCGCGGUAAUACGGAGGGUGCAAGCGUUAUCCGGAUUUAUUGGGUUUAAAGGGUCCGUAGGCGGAUCUUCAAGUCAGUGGUGAAAUCUCAUAGCUUAACUACGAAACUGCCAUUGAUACUGCAGGUCUUGAGUAAGGUAGAAGUAGCUGGAAUAAGUAGUGUAGCGGUGAAAUGCAUAGAUAUUACGUAGAACACCAAUUGCGAAGGCAGGUUACUAUGUCUUAACUGACGCUGAUGGACGAAAGCGUGGGGAGCGAACA
RNAcentral lists this ribosomal RNA (422 nucleotides) under uncultured prokaryote. RNAcentral's name for it is "bacterial SSU rRNA". It matches the Rfam family "Bacterial small subunit ribosomal RNA", at positions 355 to 774 of the family's 1533-position model. The record is from RNAcentral.